Molecule: long non-coding RNA, 380 nt
Organism: Balaenoptera acutorostrata (minke whale)
Lineage: Eukaryota; Metazoa; Chordata; Mammalia; Artiodactyla; Balaenopteridae
Exons: 3
Source: RefSeq, a predicted model, not a curated record
UGGGGUCCUCCCUCCUUACACACACCUCCCAGGCUGGCAAUUCCACCGGGAGCCAGGAGAAGCAGCGACUUCAAGGACGCUCCUCAGCGUGGAACGAGAGGCAAUGUCACCCUUGGAGAGGAGUGGAGCUCUCAGCCUGCUGGCCAGCACGCCGUAUCCGUCCCUCCAGGAAAGACCCGGGUUUCCACGGGCCGAGUGUGUAUGUGCACGCGUGUCACCUGCGUGUCUGGUCAUCGCCUUCUGGGCGGUGUCCUGCUCCAGUUUCCUGUCGUUCUUUUGGCCGGAUCAGCAGCGGAGAGAAAUCAGGAGGGCAGCUCUCUUAUGCAGAUCCUCUCAGAGGUCUAUAUUGCUGGGUUUGUGUGCGCGUUUGCGCGUGCACA